Molecule: long non-coding RNA, 844 nt
Organism: Psammomys obesus (fat sand rat)
Lineage: Eukaryota; Metazoa; Chordata; Mammalia; Rodentia; Muridae
Exons: 5
Source: RefSeq, a predicted model, not a curated record
UUGCCACGCUUUCUUUUGAAGCUCCAUGGAUUUGGGGCGACUCCUGCGGGCCUCCUGGAGCACGACCUGGAGGCCUCCACCCUCCCAUCUGCCUCUGCUUCCUUGCAUUUAAAGGGUCUCAUGGAGGGGUCACAUAGUCCAUGGUAAAUGUUGCUAGCAAUACUACUGAUGAGUGAAAACACAUACAAGAAAUGAUCAGAUGUGAGCCCUCACCUACUGCUCCAGUGACCUGCCUGCCUGCCUUCCUAUUACCAUGCUUCCACUAUGAUGGUCAUGGACUAACCCUCUGAAACUGGAGCACUGCAUGAAGGCGAUGCACAGAUACAUGCAAGCAAAGUACUAAUGCACAAGAAAUAAAAUAAAAGCAUCGCUUCCCCAGAAACCCGAGCAGCUUUCAGAGGAUGCAGUGGGAAAGAAUGGCCCUUGAAAUGCUAAAAAGGGGAAAACAGCUUGAGAAUGUUAUGAGGCAAGAGGAUUGACGUGAGAGAUAUUUUCAUCUCCGAAGACUUGGUGCCAACUCAGGGCAAAGUUAGGAAAACAAAGCAUGGGUCACAGGAGAGAAAUACUGGAUGGAGAAGGUGAGAGAGAAACGGAGUCAGAAUGGAAAAGUGACUCACACACUGACUCACACCGUUGUCAUUUGUCUUUCCCCCGAUGACUGUCAGCAGUCAUUAUUCGGCAAGUUCUGUCACUAUUCGAUAGUGAAGAAUUCAUGCUGGGAAUAGUCACAUUCUGUAGGGAAUCCAGGACAAUGUUACUAUAAACCCAGGUGGGGAAGUGCAACUUAGUUCUAUAAGGGAAUAAAACUUCAGAAAAAAAAAACUCAAGAAUAAACAUAUUAAGA